ACGAUGAACCUGGAGCUUGCUCUAGGGAUUAGUGGCGAACGGGUGAGUAACACGUGAGUAACCUGCCCUUGACUCUGGGAUAACCUCCGGAAACGGAAGCUAAUACCGGAUACGACGUACGGAGGCAUCUCCUGUACGUGGAAAGAACUUCGGUCAAGGAUGGACUCGCGGCCUAUCAGGUAGUUGGUGAGGUAACGGCCCACCAAGCCUACGACGGGUAGCCGGCCUGAGAGGGUGACCGGCCACACUGGGACUGAGACACGGCCCAGACUCCUACGGGAGGCAGCAGUGGGGAAUAUUGCACAAUGGGCGCAAGCCUGAUGCAGCAACGCCGCGUGAGGGAUGACGGCCUUCGGGUUGUAAACCUCUUUUAGUUAGGGAAGAAGCGAAAGUGACGGUACCUGCAGAAAAAGCACCGGCUAACUACGUGCCAGCAGCCGCGGUAAUACGUAGGGUGCGAGCGUUGUCCGGAAUUAUUGGGCGUAAAGAGCUCGUAGGCGGUCUGUCGCGUCUGCUGUGAAAACCCGAGGCUCAACCUCGGGCCUGCAGUGGGUACGGGCAGACUAGAGUGCGGUAGGGGAGAAUGGAAUUCCUGGUGUAGCGGUGGAAUGCGCAGAUAUCAGGAGGAACACCGAUGGCGAAGGCAGUUCUCUGGGCCGUAACUGACGCU
RNAcentral lists this ribosomal RNA (670 nucleotides) under Leifsonia shinshuensis. RNAcentral describes it as "bacterial SSU rRNA". It matches the Rfam family "Bacterial small subunit ribosomal RNA", at positions 66 to 747 of the family's 1533-position model. The record is from RNAcentral. Lineage: Bacteria; Bacillati; Actinomycetota; Actinomycetes; Micrococcales; Microbacteriaceae.